AAAAAGACAAACCCUGGUUUUCUGUGUCAAUAUUUAACUGUCCGUCUUAUAUGAAAUUUUUUUAUAAUUAGUAUUUUCAUUGUUGUUAGAUGAUAAAAUAUAAUUAAUACUUUAUGUGUGACUUAUCUUUUUAAUUUUUUUUCAUAAUUUUUUUCAAAUAAAACGAACGGUCAAACGUUAGACACGGAAACCAGAGUUUGUCUUUUUU
Molecule: microRNA precursor, 208 nt
Organism: Oryza rufipogon (brownbeard rice)
Lineage: Eukaryota; Viridiplantae; Streptophyta; Magnoliopsida; Poales; Poaceae
Rfam family: MIR812 microRNA precursor family
Source: Rfam